This 196-nucleotide unclassified non-coding RNA is filed under the name soil metagenome. RNAcentral's name for it is "partial contains small subunit ribosomal RNA, internal transcribed spacer 1, and 5.8S ribosomal RNA". The record is from RNAcentral.
UUUCCGUAGGUGAACCUGCGGAAGGAUCAUUACAUUCAGUAGCCUCGCUACUUGUUUAUACCCUUGUUUUUUGCGUACUAUUGUUUCCUCGGCGGGCUUGCCUGCCGGUUGGACAAAACUAUAACCUUUUUAAUUUUCAAUCAGCGUCUGAAAAACCUAAUAAUUACAACUUUCAACAACGGAUCUCUUGGUUCUG